RNAcentral lists this ribosomal RNA (478 nucleotides) under uncultured bacterium. RNAcentral describes it as "partial 16S ribosomal RNA". It matches the Rfam family "Bacterial small subunit ribosomal RNA", at positions 28 to 523 of the family's 1533-position model. The record is from RNAcentral.
GACGAACGCUGGCGGCGUGCUUAACACAUGCAAGUCGAACGGUAAGGCCCUUCGGGGUACACGAGUGGCGAACGGGUGAGUAACACGUGGGUGAUCUGCCCUGCACUUCGGGAUAAGCCUGGGAAACUGGGUCUAAUACCGGAUAGGACCACUGCCUGCAUGGGUGGUGGUGGAAAGCUUUUGCGGUGUGGGAUGGGCCCGCGGCCUAUCAGCUUGUUGGGGGGGUGAUGGCCUACCAAGGCGACGACGGGUAGCCGGCCUGAGAGGGUGACCGGACACACUGGGACUGAGAUACGGCCCAGACUCCUACGGGAGGCAGCAGUGGGGAAUAUUGCACAAUGGGCGCAAGCCUGAUGCAGCGACGCCGCGUGAGGGAUGACGGCCUUCGGGUUGAAAACCUCUUUCAGCACCGACGAAGCGCAAGUGACGGAAGGUGCAGAAGAAGGACCGGCCAACUACGUGCCAGCCGCCGCAGUAA